This 232-nucleotide long non-coding RNA is filed under the name Homo sapiens (human). Its description in RNAcentral is "LNC_000590". Lineage: Eukaryota; Metazoa; Chordata; Mammalia; Primates; Hominidae. The record is from RNAcentral.
CCUUGGGUCCCACAGCUGUGGCCUGCAGCUUGGCGUUGAGCAGCUGGUUGUGGGCAGCGUGCAGAGGCAGGGGUAGGCUCAGUGCGGGGCCUCCGUGGCUGUUGGCAUUAAUGGCCGACUGGCUCAGUGAUGAUGGAACAGACAUGGCCUUGGCAGCUCCUGCGCGGUGAGGCCCCGGGCCCAGAUGACGGAGGUGGCUCAGGCUGCGGGGUUCGGGCUCCGCCGCGGCUUC